AGAGCGAACGCUGGCGGCAGGCUUAACACAUGCAAGUCGAGCGGGCGUAGCAAUACGUCAGCGGCAGACGGGUGAGUAACGCGUGGGAACAUACCUCUUGGUUCGGAACAACACAGGGAAACUUGUGCUAAUACCGGAUAAGCCCUUACGGGGAAAGAUUUAUCGCCGAGAGAUUGGCCCGCGUCUGAUUAGCUAGUUGGUAGGGUAAUGGCCUACCAAGGCGACGAUCAGUAGCUGGUCUGAGAGGAUGAUCAGCCACAUUGGGACUGAGACACGGCCCAAACUCCUACGGGAGGCAGCAGUGGGAAUAUUGGACAAUGGGGGCAACCCUGAUCCAGCCAUGCCGCGUGAGUGAUGAAGGCCCUAGGGUUGUAAAGCUCUUUUGUGCGGGAAGAUAAUGACGGUACCGCAAGAAUAAGCCCGGCUAACUUCGCGCCAGCAGCCGC
RNAcentral lists this ribosomal RNA (446 nucleotides) under uncultured bacterium. Its description in RNAcentral is "SSU rRNA". It matches the Rfam family "Bacterial small subunit ribosomal RNA", at positions 26 to 518 of the family's 1533-position model. The record is from RNAcentral.